UGUUAUAUUUGUUUCAUUUUUAUUUUUAUCAUUUCAGGAAAGGCAAUUGGGCCUAUUCUCAAACUGAGGCCCAGAAUAUUGGAGAGAAGAUAACUGUUUUGGAAUAUGAUAACAUAAGAGAUAAGAAAUCCAACUGUGCGAAGAGAAACCAGUUCCCAGUGGAGUCUAGACAACGACAUUUUGGAGCUGAGAAGCCACCUUGUCCAGCGGCUCCCAGACUUUAUUUCUAGGUAACCAGACCACCAACAUAACAGCCCAGGGCUCACCAAAGUACAAACUCAGAAGCGUCUGGGUCCUCUUAAGGAUUAGACCCAGAACUGGGGCAGCAUCACUUCAUCACCCCCUACCAUUUGAAGC
Choloepus didactylus (southern two-toed sloth) is the source of this 357-nucleotide long non-coding RNA. RefSeq lists it as uncharacterized. The record is from RefSeq and is a predicted model, not a curated record. The transcript has 3 exons. NCBI's taxonomy places the organism in Eukaryota, Metazoa, Chordata, Mammalia, Pilosa, Megalonychidae.